RNAcentral lists this ribosomal RNA (433 nucleotides) under uncultured bacterium. RNAcentral's name for it is "partial 16S ribosomal RNA". It matches the Rfam family "Bacterial small subunit ribosomal RNA", at positions 29 to 507 of the family's 1533-position model. The record is from RNAcentral.
AACGAACGCUGGCGGCAUGCCUAACACAUGCAAGUCGAACGAGACCUUCGGGUCUAGUGGCGCACGGGUGCGUAACGCGUGGGAACCUGCCCUUAGGUUCGGAAUCACUCCCCGAAAGGGGUGCUAAUACCGGAUAAUGUCUUCGGACCAAAGAUUUAUCGCCUUUGGAUGGGCCCGCGUGGGAUUAGCUAGUUGGUAGGGUAAAAGCCUACCAAGGCGACGAUCCAUAGCUGGUCUGAGAGGAUGAUCAGCCACACUGGGACUGAGACACGGCGCAGACUCCUACGGGAGGCAGCAGUGGGGAAUAUUGGACAAUGGGCGAAAGCCUGAUCCAGCAAUGCCGCGUGAGUGAUGAAGGCCUUAGGGUUGUAAAGCUCUUUUACCCGGGAUGAUAAUGACAGUACCGGGAGAAUAAGCUCCGGCUAACUCCGUG